This 460-nucleotide ribosomal RNA is filed under the name uncultured bacterium. RNAcentral describes it as "partial 16S ribosomal RNA". It matches the Rfam family "Bacterial small subunit ribosomal RNA", at positions 338 to 795 of the family's 1533-position model. The record is from RNAcentral.
CCUACGGGGGGCUGCAGUGAGGAAUAUUGGUCAAUGGGCGGAAGCCUGAACCAGCCAAGUCGCGUGAGGGAUUAAGGCCCUGCGGGUCGUAAACCUCUUUUGCCGGGGAGCAGUGGUCCGGACGCGUCCGGACCGGGAGAGUACCCGGAGAAAAAGCAUCGGCUAACUCCGUGCCAGCAGCCGCGGUAAUACGGAGGAUGCGAGCGUUAUCCGGUUUUAUUUGGUUUAAAGGGUUCGUAGGCGGGAAUUUAAGCCGGCGGUCAAAUGUCGGGGCUCAACCCCGGCCUGCCGUCGGACCUGGGGGCCGUGAGUGGGUGAGAAGUAGGCGGAAUGCGUGGGGUAGCGGUGAAAUGCAUAGAUAUCACGCAGAACCCCGAUUGCGAAGGCAGCAUACCGGCGCCCUACUGACGCUGAGGCACGAAAGUGCGGGUAUCGAACAGGAUUAGAUACCCGGGUAGUC